UUGACAUCCCGGGAAGCUUCAGGAAACUGGAGUGUGCCUCUUGAGGAACCCGGUGACAGGUGCUGCAUGGCUGUCGUCAGCUCGUGUCGUGAGAUGUUGGGUUAAGUCCCGCAACGAGCGCAACCCUUGUCUUUAGUUGCCAUCAUUAAGUUGGGCACUCUAAAGAGACUGCCGGUGUCAAACCGGAGGAAGGUGGGGAUGACGUCAAGUCCUCAUGGCCUUUAUGACCAGGGCUACACACGUACUACAAUGGCAUAGACAAAGGGCAGCGACAUCGCGAGGUGAAGCGAAUCCCAUAAACUAUGUCUCAGUCCGGAUUGGAGUCUGCAACUCGACUCCAUGAAGUUGGAAUCGCUAGUAAUCGUAGAUCAGCAUGCUACGGUGAAUACGUUCCCGGGCCUUGUACACACCGCCCGUCACACCACGGGAGUUGGUUGUACCAGAAGCAGUUGAGCAAACUAUUCGUAGAUGCAGGCUGCCAAGGUAUGAUUGGUAACUGGGGUGAAGUCGUAACAAGGUA
RNAcentral lists this ribosomal RNA (520 nucleotides) under uncultured bacterium. RNAcentral's name for it is "bacterial SSU rRNA". It matches the Rfam family "Bacterial small subunit ribosomal RNA", at positions 981 to 1498 of the family's 1533-position model. The record is from RNAcentral.